This is an RNA transcript of Carya illinoinensis, 1168 nucleotides long. RefSeq lists it as uncharacterized. Lineage: Eukaryota; Viridiplantae; Streptophyta; Magnoliopsida; Fagales; Juglandaceae. The transcript has 2 exons. The record is from RefSeq and is a predicted model, not a curated record.
UCGUUUCCCCCCUCUCUCUACAUCAAAAUUUCAUUUCUCCCUCCCUCUCCCUCCCUUCCUCCAUCUCCAUCUCAGUUGGACCUCUCCCUCUUCCUCUCCAUUUUAUUUUUUCCUCUCUUCCUCUCCAUAUCGUAACCUUAAAUCUGUGGGCAAUUCCAUUUUAUUUUUUCCUCCUUCCUCCCCGCAUUUCGAAUUCCAGUUGCAGAGUUUGUGGGCAACUCCCUUGGGCUUUUCUAAUCCUUGCUGUUCAGAAAUAUUUAAAACAAUUAUUUACAUAUAGCUAGUAUAACAGCAAUCGAUUGCUGCAGUGUGUAAUUUAGAGUGGCCGACAUCGAAGCUGCUGAUACAAAUUCUUGAUGAUUCAGAUGACCCAACAAAGCAAUUGAUGAUCAAGGAGGAGGUUCAAAAAUGGCAGCAAGAGGGUGCCCACAUUAUCGGGUCAUUAGAGAUGGAUGCAAGGCUGGUAAUCUCAAGUUCGCAAUGAAUUGUAGCUAUGUCAAAGACUAUGAGUUUGUUGCCAUUUUCGACGCCGAUUUCCAACCCAACCUUGAUUUCCUCAAACUUACAGUUCCUUAUUUUAAGGUAGGUAAUCAUGAGUUGCUAAAAUUUCUAGACUUGGAUGGGAAUUCGAAAAUGCAUAAGGAAUCUAAUGCUUAAAAGAUGUUGGUGGUAAUGGCCUCCUCUGCCUCCCUCGUCUUCGUCUUCUCCUUCUCUCUCUCCAUCCUCCCCACUGCUCCCGAUUUCUUCGCUCUCCGUCCUUUGUCUUUGCCAUGAAAACCUCGUCAAGUUUAUUGAAUUGGUUACUAUGAUGACAGAGAACAAGGGGCCAUGGUAUUCGAGCAUGCGGCAAAUGGAAGCUUGCAAGAAAAGCUUCACAGCACAGAAAAGGAAUCGCAUGUGCUUUCGUGGAGAAGACGAAGGGAGGGAUAGGCAGAGGCAGACCUGCCAUGGAAAGAGGGAGAGCUUCGAGGGAGGAACGUGGGAAGAAGAAAAGCUUCGUGCAGUUGGGACUUUGUGAGAAUAUUGUGAGAAAUCAUGGUGGAUUCUUUGUAACUGGUUUGUGUCUGUAAUACAGACUGGUAAUAGUCUAUAAAUUCUGUAAAUCUGCUGUACGAGAAGAGUCGAAAUCGAGAAGCGACUUUGUGAGAAGGAAAGUUUGUUUGAGGCA